This 340-nucleotide ribosomal RNA is filed under the name Theileria annulata. RNAcentral describes it as "SSU rRNA". It matches the Rfam family "Eukaryotic small subunit ribosomal RNA", at positions 546 to 923 of the family's 1831-position model. Lineage: Eukaryota; Apicomplexa; Aconoidasida; Piroplasmida; Theileriidae. The record is from RNAcentral.
AAUUGGAGGGCAAGUCUGGUGCCAGCAGCCGCGGUAAUUCCAGCUCCAAUAGCGUAUAUUAAAAUUGUUGCAGUUAAAAAGCUCGUAGUUGAAUUUCUGCUGCAUUGCUUGUGUCCCUCUGGGGUCUGUGCAUGUGGCUUUUUUCGGACGGAGUUUCUUUGUCUGAAUGUUUACUUUGAGAAAAUUAGAGUGCUCAAAGCAGGCUUUCGCCUUGAAUAGUUUAGCAUGGAAUAAUAAAGUAGGACUUUGGUUCUAUUUUGUUGGUUUUAGGUACCAAAGUAAUGGUUAAUAGGAACAGUUGGGGGCAUUCGUAUUUAACUGUCAGAGGUGAAAUUCUUAG